AGUGAACGCUGGCGGUAGGCCUAACACAUGCAAGUCGAACGGCAGCACAGUAAGAGCUUGCUCUUACGGGUGGCGAGUGGCGGACGGGUGAGGAAUACAUCGGAAUCUACUUUUUCGUGGGGGAUAACGUAGGGAAACUUACGCUAAUACCGCAUACGACCUACGGGUGAAAGCAGGGGAUCUUCGGACCUUGCGCGAUUGAAUGAGCCGAUGUCGGAUUAGCUAGUUGGCGGGGUAAAGGCCCACCAAGGCGACGAUCCGUAGCUGGUCUGAGAGGAUGACCGGCAACACUGGAGUUGAGCAGCGGCCAGGCCCCCAGGGGGGGGAAGAGGGGGGAAAUAUGGAAAAAGGGGCGCAAGCCUGACCCAGCCAUACGGGGGGGGUGAAGAAGCCCUUGGGUUUUAAAACCUGUUUGUUGGAAAAAAAAAAGCAGCGGGUAAACCCCCCGCUGUUCUGAGGUAACCAAAAAAAAAGGCCCGGGCUACCUUCGUC
Molecule: ribosomal RNA, 492 nt
Filed under: uncultured bacterium
Lineage: Bacteria
Description: partial 16S ribosomal RNA
Rfam family: Bacterial small subunit ribosomal RNA
Source: RNAcentral